RNAcentral lists this unclassified non-coding RNA (18 nucleotides) under Mus musculus (house mouse). RNAcentral's name for it is "oocyte_clustered_small_RNA2460". The record is from RNAcentral. Lineage: Eukaryota; Metazoa; Chordata; Mammalia; Rodentia; Muridae.
CAGUAUAGAGCCAAGGAU